UACAGCGGGUGCUAGCGUUGUUCGGAAUUACUGGGCGUAAAGGGCGCGUAGGCGGCUUCGUAAGUCAGAUGUGAAAUCCCCGGGCUUAACUCGGGACGUGCAUUUGAAACUGCGAGGCUAGAGUGUGUCAGAGGGGGGUAGAAUUCCACGUGUAGCAGUGAAAUGCGUAGAGAUGUGGAGGAAUACCGAUGGCGAAGGCAGCCCCCUGGGAUAACACUGACGCUCAUGCACGAAAGCGUGGGGAGCAAACAGG
Molecule: ribosomal RNA, 253 nt
Filed under: uncultured bacterium
Lineage: Bacteria
Description: partial 16S ribosomal RNA
Rfam family: Bacterial small subunit ribosomal RNA
Source: RNAcentral